Mustela lutreola (European mink) is the source of this 1583-nucleotide long non-coding RNA. RefSeq lists it as uncharacterized. NCBI's taxonomy places the organism in Eukaryota, Metazoa, Chordata, Mammalia, Carnivora, Mustelidae. The transcript has 4 exons. The record is from RefSeq and is a predicted model, not a curated record.
UUUAUUGACAGCGCCGACAAAAGAACAAACAGGUCCGUGUUGCGCAGGCGCAGUGGUUAAACAAGCUAAGGGUCAGGGGUGGGGUUCAGCCCGAAGCGCUCAGAGAACAACGGCGCAUGCGUGCGGAUCCUCCCUUCCUUUGGGCAACUCUGGGAUUGGGCGGAGCCGCGGGCGCUAGUUCUUCUGUUUGCAAGUUUGCCGGUUCCUACUCUCCGUUCGGCUAAUAAAUUUUGCAAAAAUCUGACAAUUGACUGCUAAGGGAUAGUCCGUUACUUUGGGAUGCGGCAGAAGACGAGAUAACGAAGCCCUUGCUCUCCGGAAAGUUGCGUAGAAGGAAUUCUUGAGGUUUUAUUUAGCAUAUAGUGAUCGUUUUUUAAUCUUUCGUUAAAUUAAGGUGGACGGGUUUCUAGGCGGGAAACAAGUUAAGUACUUAUCGAUUAUGGCCUCUUCAUUUUGGACUGCCUCAGGCUCUUGGACCUCUUCUCUAUAUUUCCUAUAACAAAAAAAUAAAGCAUCUUUUUUUGAAACUGAGUCAACUAUUUGGUUGCAUUUGGAAGAAGUAGCUAAAUGAACCUAUGAUAUCUCACUUUCAAGACAUCAAGAAAGACUCAAGGAUUUUUUGUUACUGAAGGUUUCUUUGGUUCCUACUUUUUUUUCAGUGACUUCUACAACUUUAUUUUUCAUCAUCAUCUGAGUUUUAUUUUCAGAACAGCUGAACUGAAUUUUUAUAAAUUUCCACUUCAGAAACACAGGCAGUCUUAAGAAAUGGAUGGGAACCAGCAAACGUUCUCAAUGGUAGUAUAUACUAAGGGAAAAGAGAAAAUACUGGAAUUGCACUUGAACACUUUUGGAUUUCACUGUGUAAUGAAUUUGUUCUGCAUUAGGACUUUAAAAAACAACCUUGCAAGUUACACAGAACCAAGAGGACAACUUAUGGAGGACAUGCCUGUCUCCCAGAAAGUCUGAAGGUUUAUUUUGCCAUCUUUUAAGUCAAAGGAAGUCUGGAAGGUCUGUUUCCCCAUUUGUUGCUCUGAAUGUUUAUAGGAAGGGAAAGGUUCUUUUGGAGACAUCUGAACAAAGUUCCAAUGUUCUAAAUUCUGUUUUCAGGAAUGACUCAGAGCUUCUAACGUAGGAACUUCUAAUGAUCUGUAUGUGGAUGUAUGGAACAUUCAAUGGCCUAGGAAUGGUGAUAGUUGGAUCUCAGUCUAUUCUCUGUCCUGCCGUUACUUGGCUGUGGAUCUCAGACAUUUCUGGCCCACAAUUUUCUCAUCUGUCAGAUCUCAGUAAGAGGUGCCAAAUAAUCGGUAACAUUCCCCUCAGUUCUAAUUACAAUCAAACCUUAUGUCAAUGUUUCUGUCUGACUCAACCCCAAUCCAUAAUUCCUUUCUCCCUAAUUAUUUUCUGGUAUUGGUCCAGGGAUAAACAUGUGUCUAGUUCUAACCAAUGAAGUGUUAAUGGCUGAGAUUCCAGAAAAGAUUUUUAAAAGGAUAGAUUGGGCCAGAAUGAUCCUUUGGGUCUUUUGAAUCUGUCCUCUUCUUGCCUGCAAAAAAUAUAAUGCAUGGGCGUAGCGGUCAUCUUUUUUU